Molecule: ribosomal RNA, 301 nt
Filed under: uncultured bacterium
Lineage: Bacteria
Description: partial 16S ribosomal RNA
Rfam family: Bacterial small subunit ribosomal RNA
Source: RNAcentral
CAGUAGCCACGGUAAUACGAGGGGUGCAAGCGUUAUUCGGAUUGAUUGGGUGUAAAGGGUGUGCAGACGGCUUAUUAAGUCACUUGUUAAAUUCUUCGGCCUAACUGAAGGUCUGCAAGUGAUACUGAUGAGCUAGAGGGUGGAAGAGAGAAGUGGAAUUCUCGGAGUAGCGGUAAAAUGCGUAGAUCUCGAGAGGAACACCAAUGGCGAAGGCAGCUUCUUGGUCCAUUCCUGACGUCCAUACACGAAAGCGUGGGGAGCAAACAGGAUUAGAUACCCCCGUAGUCCCUGUCUCUUAUAC